RNAcentral lists this transfer RNA (88 nucleotides) under Candidatus Woesearchaeota archaeon. RNAcentral describes it as "tRNA-Gln". Lineage: Archaea; Nanobdellati; Candidatus Woesearchaeota. The record is from RNAcentral.
AGCCCCGUAGUCUAGCGGUCUCUUUAUAGCCGCAAAAGGAUUCAGCCCUUUGGAGGCUGAGACGGCAGUUCGAAUCUGCCCGGGGCUA